Molecule: ribosomal RNA, 1482 nt
Filed under: Tomato big bud phytoplasma
Lineage: Bacteria; Bacillati; Mycoplasmatota; Mollicutes; Acholeplasmatales; Acholeplasmataceae
Description: 16S ribosomal RNA
Rfam family: Bacterial small subunit ribosomal RNA
Source: RNAcentral
AUACAUGCAAGUCGAACGGAACCUUCGGGUUUUAGUGGCGAACGGGUGAGUAACACGUAAGCAACCUGCCUUUAAGACGUGGAUAACAAUUGGAAACAGUUGCUAAGACAGGAUAGGAAAUUAAGAGGCAUCUUUUAAUUUUUAAAAGACCUUUUUCGAAAGGUAUACUUAAAGAGGGGCUUGCGCCACAUUAGUUAGUUGGUAAGGUAAAGGCUUACCAAGACGAUGAUGUGUAGCUGGACUGAGAGGUCGAACAGCCACAUUGGGACUGAGACACGGCCCAAACUCCUACGGGAGGCAGCAGUAAGGAAUUUUUGGCAAUGGAGGAAACUCUGACCGAGCGACGUCGCGUGAACAAUGAAGUACUUCGGUAUGUAAAGUUCUUUUAUUGAAAAAGAAAAAAUAGUGGAAAAACUAUCUUGACAUUAUUCAAUGAAUAAGCCCCGGCUAAUUAUGUGCCAGCAGCCGCGGUAAUACAUAAGGGGCGAGCGUUAUCCGGAAUUAUUGGGCGUAAAGGGUGCGUAGGCGGUUUGAUAAGUCUAUAGUUUAAAUGCAGUGCUUAACGCUGUAGCGCUAUAGAAACUGUCUGACUAGAGUUAGAUAGAGGCAAGCGGAAUUCCAUGUGUAGCGGUAAAAUGCGUAAAUAUAUGGAGGAACACCAGAGGCGUAGGCGGCUUGCUGGGUCUUAACUGACGCUGAGGCACGAAAGCGUGGGGAGCAAACAGGAUUAGAUACCCUGGUAGUCCACGCCGUAAACGAUGAGUACUAAGUGUCGGGUUUCGGCUCGGUACUGAAGUUAACACAUUAAGUACUCCGCCUGAGUAGUACGUACGCAAGUAUGAAACUUAAAGGAAUUGACGGGACCCCGCACAAGCGGUGGAUCAUGUUGUUUAAUUCGAAGAUACACGAAAAACCUUACCAGGUCUUGACAUAAUUUUGCGACAUUAUAGAAAUAUAAUGAAGGUUAUCAGAAUUACAGGUGGUGCAUGGUUGUCGUCAGCUCGUGUCGUGAGAUGUUAGGUUAAGUCCUAAAACGAGCGCAACCCUUGUCGUUAGUUGCGACCACGUAAUGGUGAGCACUUUAGCGAGACUGCCAAUGAAAAAUUGGAGGAAGGUGAGGAUUACGUCAAAUCAUCAUGCCCCUUAUGAUCUGGGCUACAAACGUGAUACAAUGGCUGUUACAAAGAGUAGCUACAACGUGAGUUUUUAGCCAAUCUCAAAAAAACAGUCUCAGUUCGGAUUGAAGUCUGCAACUCGACUUCAUGAAGUUGGAAUCGCUAGUAAUCGCGAAUCAGCAUGUCGCGGUGAAUACGUUCUCGGGGUUUGUACACACCGCCCGUCAAACCACGAAAGUUGAUAAUACCCGAAAGCGGUCGCCUAACUUCGUCAGAAGAGGGAGCCGUCUAAGGUAGGAUCGAUGAUUGGGGUUAAGUCGUAACAAGGUAUCCCUACCGGAAGGUGGGGAUGGAUCACCUCCUUUCU